CCUACGGGUGGCAGCAGUGGGGAAUAUUGGGCAAUGGGCGCAAGCCUGACCCAGCAACGCCGCGUGAAGGAAGAAGGCUUUCGGGUUGUAAACUUCUUUUCUCAGGGACGAAGCAAGUGACGGUACCUGAGUAAUAAGCCACGGCUAACUACGUGCCAGCAGCCGCUGUAAUACGUAGGUGGCAAGCGUUCUGCGGAUUUACUGGGUGUAAAGGUCGUGUAGGCGGGAAAGCAAGUCAGAUGUGAAAACCACGGGCGUAACCUGUGGCCUGCAUUUGAAACUGUUUUUCUUGAGUACUGGAGAGGCAGGCGGAAUGCGUAGUGUAGCGGUGAAAUGCGUAGAUAGUAGGAGGAACACCAGUGGCGAAGGCGGUAUGCUGGACAGCAACUGACGCUGAGGCGCGAAAGCGUGGGGAGCAAACAGGAUUAGAUACCCGAGUAGUC
This 443-nucleotide ribosomal RNA is filed under the name uncultured bacterium. Its description in RNAcentral is "partial 16S ribosomal RNA". It matches the Rfam family "Bacterial small subunit ribosomal RNA", at positions 338 to 795 of the family's 1533-position model. The record is from RNAcentral.